GAUGAACGCUGGCGGCGUGCCUAAUACAUGCAAGUCGAGCGAACAGAUAAGGAGCUUGCUCCUUUGACGUUAGCGGCGGACGGGUGAGUAACACGUGGGUAACCUACCUAUAAUACUGGGAUAACUUCGGGAAACCGGAGCUAAUACCGGAUAACAUUUGGCACCGCAUGGUUCUAAAGUGAAAGAUGGUUUUUCUAUCACUUAUAGAUGGACCCGCGCCGUAUUAGCUAGUUGGUAAGGUAACGGCUUACCAAGGCGACGAUACGUAGCCGACCUGAGAGGGGGAUCGGCCACACGGGAAGUGAGACACGGACAAGACUCCUAAGGGAGGCAGCAGUAGGGAAUGUUACGCAGUGGGCGAAAGCAUGACGGAGCAAGGCCGCGUGAGUGAUGAAGGGUUUCGGCGCGUAAAACUCGGUUAUUAGGGAAGAACAAAUGUGUAAGUAAAUGUGCACGUAGUGACGGUACCGAAUAAGAAAGCCACGGCUAACUACGUG
This 497-nucleotide ribosomal RNA is filed under the name uncultured bacterium. Its description in RNAcentral is "partial 16S ribosomal RNA". It matches the Rfam family "Bacterial small subunit ribosomal RNA", at positions 28 to 507 of the family's 1533-position model. The record is from RNAcentral.